Molecule: long non-coding RNA, 2894 nt
Organism: Gadus chalcogrammus (walleye pollock)
Lineage: Eukaryota; Metazoa; Chordata; Actinopteri; Gadiformes; Gadidae
Exons: 8
Source: RefSeq, a predicted model, not a curated record
ACUGUAUCCCAGCAUGCAUCUCUGCUCACUCAGACCACACCCCCAUGAGUAGGAUGUAACACUCUAGUGAUAGAGAUGUAGAGUUUUAUAAGUAAUGAGGGAGCAGACUAAGGUUAUUAGAACACAAUGGAAUGUCAAGUCUGUAAAUCUUUAAACCAUGAAGAUGGUUGAUAGUUCAGGAAUUGGGCUUAUUUUUAUUAUGGGCAGUCCUUUCACUCAGAUGCCCACUUCUCACUGGAGCUGUACAUGUGUUGGCUGGCUGGCAUGAUUUGCUGUUGGUGAUGAGGCGGUCAGGGUGACGUUGCAGGGCUAUGGUCGGCUCUCUGUGAGCUCAACGUUUAGAUUUGCUCUGUAUGGUUUGUACCCUGAAUAAUCUAGAUAAUUGUAAAAUGUAGACACGGUUUUGUAUUGAAUGAUUCCAGGAUUUUAGGUUUAAAGUUGUUGUGGGACGUACAUGGUAGUUUGGUUCUUCGUAUGGUUUUGAGUGAUAUAACUUGUACACACUGGGUGCAUAAUAAUGUAAAGGUACACUGAAUAGUAGUAAUUACCAACAGCAACAAACAGAUCUCCUCAAGGUAAGUCUGUUGGCUGUGUUUUAAUGAAGACCAUCGCUGGACUUCAGGAUCUUCCUCCGUUCAGCUCAAGGUGAGGUGCUGGUUCUGUUUUUUCUUUGGUUGGUUCCGGCCGGAAUGUUCGGAUUCCAGUCGGACGGUUUGUGCUUCACGCCGUGGAAGGUUCUGAGUGCGGUCACUUGAUUUAGUCGGAAUGGUUAGCAUAGAACAUUGUAGUCUUGACAACCAUGAGAAACCACCGGGCAGUUAGUUGGACGGGAGACUCCCCUGAGGGAAUCUGGCGGAUCGUUCUUGAUUGUAUUUGCGUAACCUCGAGCCGUUGCCAACGGAAACUAUUUUGGUUUUACUAACUAUUGUCGGUUUCCAUUGGGAAUUGUUGCCCCUAUCUUAAACAACUUAAGUUUGAUAUUAAUUACAUACUGAUGCGUACGUCGUACAAUAUGUUGAUAAUUUCCGAUGGUUGCACCGUACUUUUAACCACGAUGACGUUGCGGGACUCUCACUGCGUAGAAAACCGCGUUCUACUUGCGGGCCCAUUUUUGACAUCGGGGAAGGCUGAAAAUCAUUUCAAGGUGGAAGAUAAUUUGACAUUUCUUCAACGGAACCCAGCACCUGAAUAUGGCUGAGUAUAUUUGCUUUAAUAUCGAUACUGCUUAGUGUUCUUUGUUACUUCAGCUUUUGUACGUUUUAAAUAUCUGCUGUCAUUAAUUGCCACAGAAGUUAAACCCUACCCAAUGGAAUGACGUUAAACAACGACUUUGGUGCAGAGUUACCGACUGGAUAAUAUCAAAGCUAAAAUAAUGGCCGUAAUUCCCACAUGUUACAGUAGAAGAUACUCUAGAACUGUACAAGGUUAACAAGGUAACAUGUAGUUUGUCCCAAGGUGUCUGCCUCCUCACCCAGAGCCAGACCUCCACCUCCUCGCCCAGAGCCAGACCUCCACCUCCUCACCCAGAGCCAGACCUCCACCUCCUCACCCAGAGCCAGACCUCCACCUCCUCGCCCAGAGCCAGACCUCCACCUCCUCACCCAGAGCCAGACCUCCACCUCCUGUCAGAAGUCCUCCAGAACAGCUGAAAGGCGAGGCUGAGAGGCUGGGGACCGGAGGCUUGUGGUGCCAGGGUGGACCGGAGACUGAGGCUGGAGACCAGGGGCCUGCAGCACCGGACCAGAGGACCAGGAAUCCAUGGCUGAAGGAGCUGAUGGAGGAGCGGUACUGAAGGAGCUGAUGGAGUAGUCGUGCUGAAGGCCCUGCCUUGUGGAGGAGCUGGUGGAGGCCCUGCCUGAUGAAGGACGUCUGUCGUGGGACCAGGACUCUGUCUGAGGAGAGCUGCUAGAGGAGCUGAGACGCUGGAGGACGACUAGGAAUCGACCAACAAGGAUUCCUCAACGUGUUUCUGGAGCGGAGGCGAGCUGGUAGAGGAGCCAUGAAUCUGGAGGAUGACCAUCACUCUACCAACAAGGAUUACUUUAGGGCCAGACUCGCGCUGUUUGUUCCAGACCAGGACUCUGGCUGAGGAGAGCUGAUGGAGGAGCCAAGACUCUGGAGGACGUCAUCACUCCACCAACCAGGAUCCUCAGACGAAUUACGUUUGUAACCAGACCAGGAAUCUGGAGGACUGAUGGAGCAGCCGUACAUCUGGAAGGCAAAUCCUGAGGACCACCAGGACUCUACCAUCAAGGAUUCCUCACACACCUGAGCUGAACCUCAUCUGAUCCUGUGUGGUCGGGGGUAUACACACCUGAGCUAAACCCGCCCUGAUCCUGACAUCCUGCUGGUCCCGUCUCCUCAGUUCAUCUGAGCCUCGUCCUCCAGAAGACCUGCUGAGCUCAGCUGUCUGAGGCUGAUGGAUCAAUGUGGGAGUGAUCUUCUUGACCCCACAUGUAACCGUGUGCUUCCACACGCCUUUCCCUCACGUCUGUCACUAACCUCACUACUUCACUUCUCUCUACUGCUUCCUCUUUUCUUCCUUUCCUCCUCUGUGGUUCAAACCUUUACACGGAAGGCGCGUCUUCCUGCCCUCAGAGGGUUUAGCGUUAGGGUUGAGAGUCAGGGUUUAGAGUCAGGGACAGAGCUGGUCAGGGAGGACUGCUUUUACACAAACCUCUUCACUUGCUUUCAGAAUGGUGGUGACAUUUUGAAAUGAUUCAUUUGGGAAAAUGUUUUCCUCUGGUUUCCUUGUGUGUUGAAUUGCAUUCAACUUGUAUUCAACUUCUGUCAAGUGUUUUUGUUUCUAUAUUAAAAGCCCACAUUGACUUCUAUAUAUUUGGUGCGGUUCAUUUAUUUGUCCUUUAACUUGGUUAAUGUCAAGCUAAACUCCU